AACGUGCAACAACCUCAGUCAAUGGAGCGCAUCUCUACUACCCCAACUAAUUUUCUUUCUCCUAUACAGGUUCAGCAAAAUUCUUCAAUACCUUUUUUAGAAUUGGAGUCAUCUUUGCCCCCAAAUCCACCCAGUACUGAUGAUUGAAUCAGGAGUGACAGCAACUCCAACUCGCCUUCACCGCCAGCUGCCUCAUCUCAUCCUAUGGUGACAAGGCUGCGGGAUAGAACUUUGGCACGGCGUCAACUUCGGGUUGAUCACACUUAUGCCCUGCAAACCAAAGCUUCCUCAUUACCAACACCGACUUCCUUCACUCAAGCAAAUAAAGAUCCAGCAUGGCAAGCAGCUAUGAAUGAAGAAUACGCUGCCUUGAUGCACAAUCAGACGUAGACACUUGUACCUUCACCGAAACAGUGCAAACCCAUUGGUUGUAAAUGGGUAUUUCGAGUCAAGAUGAAUACUGACGGAUUCCUUGAAAGAUACAAGGCUCGGGAUGGCAACUUUGAUAAUUGGACGUGAAGAAUGCUUUUCUCAAUGGUCAUCUUGAAGAAGAAAUUUAUAUGCAGUAGCCUCCAGGCUUCAUUGACUCUACUCAUCCUCACCAUGUGUGCCGUCUUCAAUGUUUGCUUUAUGGACUAAAAUAGGCACCGCGUGCAUGGCACCAACGAUUAAGUUAUUUUCUUCUCUCUCUUGGGUUUCAAGUAUCUCGUGCUGACUCCUCUUUAUUUGUGCUUCACUCAGCAGCAUACGGUAUAUUUCUCUUGGUAUAUGCAGAUGAUAUAAUUUUAAUUGGGUUGCCCUCAGCGCCUUUAUCUACUCUAAUCGAAUCCCUAUAGCGAGAGUUUGCUAUUAUGGACCUCGACGAGCUCCAUUAUUUUCUCGGCAUUGAAUUGCAAAGAACCGACAAAGGUCUAUUGCUCCAUCAAGGCAAGUAUGCACACGACGUUCUUCAACGUACCAAUAUGCCGGAUGCUUGACCAGUCACGACUCCUUAUGUUACUGGUACAAACCCGCCUUUACUGCAACACGGAGCUUUAUUUCAUGAUCCUACCUUA
This is a long non-coding RNA of Rhodamnia argentea, 1055 nucleotides long. RefSeq lists it as uncharacterized. The transcript is spliced from 2 exons. Lineage: Eukaryota; Viridiplantae; Streptophyta; Magnoliopsida; Myrtales; Myrtaceae. The record is from RefSeq and is a predicted model, not a curated record.